This is a long non-coding RNA of Dreissena polymorpha, 326 nucleotides long. RefSeq lists it as uncharacterized. The transcript is spliced from 3 exons. Lineage: Eukaryota; Metazoa; Mollusca; Bivalvia; Myida; Dreissenidae. The record is from RefSeq and is a predicted model, not a curated record.
GAACUGAUGUACCCUUGCUUGCAGUUACUGCUACAGCAACAGAGAAGGUACAGCAGAAUAUACACCAAGGUCUGCUGUUGUCCGACGAUGCGUUAUCCGUCGGCGUAUUACCCGACAGACCGAAUAUUCGACUGGCGGUUAGAAAUCGACUGAUCACGCUGAGGAAGAGCUGGUGUGGUUGCUGCAACAGUUUCAGACAACACCCACACUGGUCAAGACUAUAAUAUUCUGCAAGUCGUACAGGUGUGUAUAUCAAGUGUGGUCAUGGUUGGUUAUUCAACUCGGUGACACGUCUUACGACGGGGAGCACCGUAGCUACAACCGCG